AAUAGAUACCCUGGUAGUCCUGGCCCUAAACGAUGAGUGCUCGGUGUGGCGGGUAUCGAUCCCUGCCGUGCCGAAGCUAACGCAUUAAGCACUCCGCCUGGGGAGUACGGUCGCAAGGCUGAAACUCGAAAGGAAUUGACGGGGGCCCGCACAAGCGGUGGAGCAUGUGGUUUAAUUCGACGCAACGCGAAGAACCUUACCCAGGCUCGAAAUGCAGACGAUCGCCGGUGAAAGCCGGUUCCCGCAAGGGCGUCUGUAUAGGUGCUGCAUGGCUGUCGUCAGCUCGUGUCGUGAGAUGUUGGGUUAAGUCCCGCAACGAGCGCAACCCUUGUCUUCUGUUGCCAUCAGGUCACGCUGGGCACUCUGGAGAAACUGCCGGUGACAAACCGGAGGAAGGUGGGGAUGACGUCAAGUCAGCAUGGCCUUUAUGUCUGGGGCUACACACGUGCUACAAUGGCCGGUACAAACCGCUGCAAACUCGCGAGGGUGAGCUAAUCGGAGAAAGCCGGUCUCAGUUCGGAUUGU
This 525-nucleotide ribosomal RNA is filed under the name uncultured bacterium. RNAcentral describes it as "bacterial SSU rRNA". It matches the Rfam family "Bacterial small subunit ribosomal RNA", at positions 777 to 1301 of the family's 1533-position model. The record is from RNAcentral.